CCUACGGGGCGCAGCAGUGAGGAAUAUUGGUCAAUGGGCGGGAGCCUGAACCAGCCAAGCCGCGUGAGGGAAGAAGGUACAGCGUAUCGUAGACCUCUUUUGUCAGGGAACAAAGGCGGGGACUAGUCCCCGGAUGAGGGUACCUGAAGAAAAAGCAUCGGCUAACUCCGUGCCAGCAGCCGCGGUAAUACGGAGGAUGCGAGCGUUAUCCGGAUUCAUUGGGUUUAAAGGGUGCGCAGGCGGGCCUUUAAGCCGGCGGUGAAAUCUCGGGG
RNAcentral lists this ribosomal RNA (272 nucleotides) under uncultured bacterium. RNAcentral describes it as "partial 16S ribosomal RNA". It matches the Rfam family "Bacterial small subunit ribosomal RNA", at positions 338 to 607 of the family's 1533-position model. The record is from RNAcentral.